GAUGAACGCUGGCGGCGUGCCUAAUACAUGCAAGUCGAGCGAACGGACGAGAAGCUUGCUUUUCUGAUGUUAGCGGCGGACGGGUGAGUAACACGUGGAUAACCUACCUAUAAGACUGGGAUAACUUCGGGAAACCGGAGCUAAUACCGGAUAAUAUUUUGAACCGCAUGGUUCAAAAGUGAAAGACGGUCUUGCUGUCACUUAUAGAUGGAUCCGCGCUGCAUUAGCUAGUUGGUAAGGUAACGGCUUACCAAGGCAACGAUGCAUAGCCGACCUGAGAGGGGGAUAGGCAACACUGGAAGAGCGGCACGGUGCAGACUCCUGCGGGAGGAAGCAGGGGGGAAUCUAGCGCAAUGGGCGAAAGCCGGAAGGAGCAAAGCCGCGGGAGUGAUGAAGGUCUUCGGAUCGUAAAACUCUGUUAUUAGGGAAGAACAUAUGUGUAAGGAACUGUGCACAUCUUGACGGGACCUAAUCAGAAAGCCACGGCUAACUACGUG
This 497-nucleotide ribosomal RNA is filed under the name uncultured bacterium. RNAcentral describes it as "partial 16S ribosomal RNA". It matches the Rfam family "Bacterial small subunit ribosomal RNA", at positions 28 to 507 of the family's 1533-position model. The record is from RNAcentral.